This 251-nucleotide ribosomal RNA is filed under the name uncultured prokaryote. RNAcentral describes it as "partial 16S rRNA". It matches the Rfam family "Bacterial small subunit ribosomal RNA", at positions 525 to 775 of the family's 1533-position model. The record is from RNAcentral.
ACAGAGGAGGCAAGCGUUGUUCGGAAUCACUGGGCUUAAAGCGCGUGUAGGCGGCUUAGAAAGUGUCGUGUGAAAUCCCGCGGCUCAACCGUGGAACUGCACGGGAAACUACUUGGCUAGAGGACGGUAGAGGUGCCUGGAACGCGUGAUGUAGCGGUGAAAUGCAUAGAUAUGUCAAAGAACGCCAAAAGCGAAAGCAGUGCACCGAGCUGUAUCUGACGCUGAGCCGCGAAAGCGUGGGGAUCAAACAG